AGUGAACGCUGGCGGUAGGCCUAACACAUGCAAGUCGAACGACAGCACAGUAAGAGCUUGCUCUUACGGGUGGCGAGUGGCGGACGGGUGAGGAAUACAUCGGAAUCUACUUUUUCGUGGGGGAUAACGUAGGGAAACUUACGCUAAUACCGCAUACGACCUACGGGUGAAAGCAGGGGAUCUUCGGGCCUUUCGCGAUUGAAUGAGCCGAUGUCGGAUUAGCUAGUUGGCAGGGUAAAGGCCCACCAAGGCGACGAUCCGUAGCUGGUCUGAGAGGAUGAUCAGCCACACUGGAACUGAGACACGGUCCAGACUCCUACGGGAGGCAGCAGUGGGGAAUCUUGGACAAUGGGCGCAAGCCUGAUCGAGCAAUACCGCGUGGGUGAAGAAGGUCUUCGGGUUGUAAAGCCCUUUUAUUGGGAAAGAAAAGCAGUAGGUUAAUCCAUCGCUGUUCUGACGGUACCCAAAGAAUAAGCACCGGCUAACUUCGUG
This 492-nucleotide ribosomal RNA is filed under the name uncultured bacterium. RNAcentral's name for it is "partial 16S ribosomal RNA". It matches the Rfam family "Bacterial small subunit ribosomal RNA", at positions 29 to 507 of the family's 1533-position model. The record is from RNAcentral.